AUACGUAGGGGGCGAGCGUUGUCCGGAAUGAUUGGGCGUAAAGGGCGCGUAGGCGGCGCGGUAAGUCUGGAGUGAAAGUCCUGCUUUCAAGGUGGGAAUUGCUUUGGAUACUGCCGAGCUUGAGUGCAGGAGAGGUUAUCGGAAUUCCCGGUGUAGCGGUGAAAUGCGUAGAGAUCGGGAGGAACACCAGUGGCGAAGGCGGGUAACUGGACUGCAACUGACGCUGAGGCGCGAAAGUGUGGGGAGCAAACAGGAUUAGAUACCCUGGUAGUCCACACUGUAAACGAUGAAUGCUAGGUGUAAGAGGUAUCGACCCCUUUUGUGCCGGAGUCAACACAAUAAGCAUUCCGCCUGGGGAGUACGGCCGCAAGGUUGAAACUCAAAGGAAUUGACGGGG
Molecule: ribosomal RNA, 397 nt
Filed under: uncultured bacterium
Lineage: Bacteria
Description: partial 16S ribosomal RNA
Rfam family: Bacterial small subunit ribosomal RNA
Source: RNAcentral